This is a long non-coding RNA of Rosa chinensis, 389 nucleotides long. RefSeq lists it as uncharacterized. Lineage: Eukaryota; Viridiplantae; Streptophyta; Magnoliopsida; Rosales; Rosaceae. The transcript has 3 exons. The record is from RefSeq and is a predicted model, not a curated record.
CCCUGUGACCAUCAUUGUCGUCUUCACGUUCUCCUCUCCAGUCAACAAUGGCAGACGACGAUGUCAACGACAUUGAUAUGGGGUUAUCUCUGAGUGCGUCAUAAUUAUCAAUACUUCAUAAAAUUGUGAUGAGGUAGAAGGCCAGUUAUUGAGGUCAUUAUAUUCAGCACUGCCCUACAAAUGGUGAUCCAAACUAUGACAUCAAAAGAGUGAAACCACCCACUGGCAUUCCCAAGUCCAUGGUGAUAGCAACCCCAAAUGGCUCAUAUGCACUGCCGAGUGGUGCAGUAGCUGUAUUGAGGCCGAAUGAGGAUGGUUUUGAGAAAGAGAUUGAAGGUUUACCGUCUACGCGUUCUGUUGGUGAUUUACCACCUGAGCUACAUUGCCCC